Molecule: ribosomal RNA, 252 nt
Filed under: uncultured microorganism
Description: partial 16S ribosomal RNA
Rfam family: Bacterial small subunit ribosomal RNA
Source: RNAcentral
UACGUAGGUCCCGAGCGUUGUCCGGAUUUAUUGGGCGUAAAGCGAGCGCAGGUGGUUUAAUAAGUCUGAUGUAAAAGGCAGUGGCUCAACCAUUGUGUGCAUUGGAAACUGUUAGACUUGAGUGCAGUAGAGGAGAGUGGAAUUCCAUGUGUAGCGGUGAAAUGCGUAGAUAUAUGGAGGAACACCAGUGGCGAAGGCGACUUUCUGGUCUGUAACUGACACUGAGGCGCGAAAGCGUGGGGAGCAAACAGG